This 261-nucleotide ribosomal RNA is filed under the name uncultured bacterium. RNAcentral's name for it is "partial 16S ribosomal RNA". It matches the Rfam family "Bacterial small subunit ribosomal RNA", at positions 793 to 1055 of the family's 1533-position model. The record is from RNAcentral.
GUCCACGCCCUAAACGAUGUCAACUGGUUGUUGGGUCUUUACUGACUCAGUAACGAAGCUAACGCGUGAAGUUGACCGCCUGGGGAGUACGGCCGCAAGGUUGAAACUCAAAGGAAUUGACGGGACCCGCACAAGCGGUGGAUGAUGUGGUUUAAUUCGAUGCAACGCGAAACCUUACCCACCUUUGACAUGUACGGAACCCUUUAGAGAUAGAGGGGUGCUCGAAAGAGAGCCGUAACACAGGUGCUGCAUGGCUGUCGU